This 440-nucleotide ribosomal RNA is filed under the name uncultured bacterium. Its description in RNAcentral is "partial 16S ribosomal RNA". It matches the Rfam family "Bacterial small subunit ribosomal RNA", at positions 338 to 795 of the family's 1533-position model. The record is from RNAcentral.
CCUACGGGAGGCAGCAGUGGGGAAUAUUGCACAAUGGGGGAAACCCUGAUGCAGCGACGCCGCGUGAAGGAAGAAGUAUUUCGGUAUGUUAACUUCUAUCAGCAGGGAAGAAAAUGACGGUACCUGUCUACGAAGCCCCGGCUAACUACGUGCCAGCAGCGGCGGUUACACGUCGGGGGCAAGCGUUAUCCGGAUUUAUUGGGUGUAAAGGGAGCGUAGGCGGUUUAGCAAGUCAGACGUGAGAGCCCGGGGGUCAACUCCGGGACUGCUUUUGAAACUGGUGAACUAGAUUGGAGGAGAGGUAAGUGGAAUGCGUGGUGUAGCGGUGAAAUGCGUAGAUAUUAGGAAGAACACCAGUGGCGAAGGCGGCUUACUGGACUGUAAAUGACGCUGAGGCUCGAAAGCGUGGGGAGCGAACAGGAUUAGAUACCCCAGUAGUC